GACGAACGCUGGCGGCGUGCCUAACACAUGCAAGUCGAACGAGGUCCAUGCAGUGGCAACACUGCGGAAGACCUAGUGGCGAACGGGUGAGUAACACGUGAGGAACCUGCCCCGAAGACCGGGAUAACUCUCCGAAAGGAGCGCUAAUACCGGAUGCCCCCACCGAACCGCAUGGUUUGGUGAGGAAAUGGAUUCCGCUUCGGGAGGGCCUCGCGGCCUAUCAGCUAGUUGGUGGGGUAACGGCCCACCAAGGCAUCGACGGGUAGCUGGUCUGAGAGGACGAUCAGCCACACUGGGACUGAGACACGGCCCAGACUCCUACGGGAGGCAGCAGUGGGGAAUCUUGCGCAAUGGGCGAAAGCCUGACGCAGCAACGCCGCGUGGGGGAUGAAGGCUUUCGGGUUGUAAACCCUUUCAGCAGGGACGAAUCAAGACGGUACCUGCAGAAGAAGCCCGGCUAACUACGUGCCAGCAGCCGCGGU
Molecule: ribosomal RNA, 482 nt
Filed under: uncultured bacterium
Lineage: Bacteria
Description: bacterial SSU rRNA
Rfam family: Bacterial small subunit ribosomal RNA
Source: RNAcentral